Gadus chalcogrammus (walleye pollock) is the source of this 3115-nucleotide long non-coding RNA. RefSeq lists it as uncharacterized. The transcript has 11 exons. Lineage: Eukaryota; Metazoa; Chordata; Actinopteri; Gadiformes; Gadidae. The record is from RefSeq and is a predicted model, not a curated record.
GGGCAUGGUCACGGGGGGGACCGUAGAAGUCAGGAUCUGUGUGAUAUAGCAGUUAUUACUGAGACUGGGUGGAAAGAUGACAUACUCUGUAGAGAUGAAAUUACUCAACUUAAAUUAAAAAGGUGAAUUUAAAUAGAAAAAUAAACAAACAGAAUCACGUUCUUAGUAUUGCCAAUGUCUUAUUUUAGAGAAAACAGCAGAGGUGGGGUAACAGCAGAUUCACGGUGGGGACUGUAAAAGUCAAGAUAUGUAUAAUUUCAGUUGAGACCCCGUUUGUGACUGAGACCCCGUUGGUCCCCAAUACACUUUUGUGUUUCUGGGGGUGGUCACGGUAGUUACGAGAGAACACAAAAAGUUACGAGAGAAAUACACAUUAACUGUUUGUUAUCUCAUAAGCGGCGUGGUGCCGACUCCUUUUGACCUUUUGAAUAUUAUUAUUUCAUUAUUAAUUAUUGAACAAUAACGGUGUGUCAGCUUCCUAGUUGGUGAGGAUUAAUUUGUUAUUACAAAUAUACAAGUUAAUGUAUAUUUGUGUGCCAUGGCUUCAGACUAACUCAUGGGCGCAACCAAUUCAACUGAGCGACCCCUCCCGAAGUGGUACAGCCCUAGUCAGCCAUGUGCGAUCGGUGAGAGAAAGACGUAACAGCUUAUAACAACAUUGAUCUCUCAUGCUGGCAAUAAGAUAGUGACACACUGUUACGGUGUCCAACAAACGUAAAAUCAGCAGCCUUUGGACUACCAAACAUAAAGGCAGAAGACAGAAUUCUUGGGGAAAACAAAGUUUUAUGGUUGACCAUGCUCGUUGACCAUGCUCGUGAGGCCUGUCCUUUGUGGCUCAAGCCUUCAUGAGGAGAGAGAAGUCCACCUGAAGAGACAGACUCUUGAGGAGGAGCAGCUCUGGACCUCCGGAUUGACCGCACGCUGACCAUCUACGGCAUCAGCCAGGACGAUGACGCCAUCUACCAGUGCAUCGCCGAGAACAGCGCAGGCCAGCGCCCGCCUCACCGUGCUGUGGGCCGACGGGCUCCCCGGGGCCCCCACAAUGGUGCGGGCCCAGGCGUUGUCGCCCGGCGCCAUCCAGGUGUCCUGGAAGGAGCCGGAGCACAACACACAGGACAUCAUCGGCUACGUGCUGCACAUCCGGCGGUCCUCAGGUAUCAACAAGACAGAUAACAUGGAUCCUGGGAGUAUGCCAUGCUUCAUUAACCCGGAAAAGCAUAGAGCAAGUAACACUGAAAUACUUUGGGUUAAAAUAUACACAGUUCAAACAGGGCCUUCUUGGAGCUUUCAAUCCACUCUGAUCCAAAGUGAUUUACAGCCAUCAGGAUAAUGUCAUCCUGAGGCACAGUCUUCAGUUUGACAGCAAGGAAACUUAACAGUUCAUCUUCCAUGAUAGUUUUGCCAUCAAUAGCGGUGUAGAUCUCAGGUUUAAUCCUUUGUUUGAUAAGACGCCGUGCGGCUGUGUCAUCAUCGGCGGCCACACACAUACACACACACACACACACCAAACAUGUGCAUAGCACACACGCACACACGCACACGUAUAUGUCCACACACACACGUAUAUGUCCACACACACACACACACACACACACACACACACACACACACACACACACACACACACACACACACACGCACACGCAUAUAUAAAACAAUAUAAAACAUUUAAGAAGGAAUGCAAAUGAGGCAUUAUCAAUUAUAAUACAAACAUAAUUAAAACACAUACAAGCUUCGGGUCCAAUGUUUCCAGAACUAUGAUGAGUAUAUCUUGUGUCACUCUGAGAGUUGUUAAUAAUGUUUGUUUUACGCACAUCGGCCUCAUAGGUGUUGUCGUCCCUCCUCCAAGCUUGGGGGGAGAUGGGCCUCCCCGGGUCCCCAAGCUUGACGGACAUCCGUUCAGCCGUGGCCACAUACAACUUUGACUCAGAGAUUGGCAGGAGGGACCUCUUUGUCUGCCUGGCACAGCAGGAGCCCUCAUCCGAUUCCUCCCCCGUUCCUGCUCCUGCUGGCUCCUCCUCCCCUGCUCCUGCUGCUGCUGGCUCCUCCUCCCCUGCUCCUCCUCCCCUGCUCCUGCUGCUGCUGGCUCCUCCUCCCCUGCUCCUGCUCCUGCUCCUGUUGGCUCCUCCUCCCCUGCUCCUGCUGGCUCCUGUGUGUUGUCAGGCCUGUCCUUUGUGGCUCCAGCCUUCAUGAGGAGAGAGAUGUCCGGCCAGGUGAGAGUCUGCUCACCUGAAGAGACAGACUCUUGAGGAGGAGCAGCUCUGGACCUCCGGAUUGACCGCACGCUGACCAUGUACUGCAUCAGCCAGGACGAUGACACAACAACACAACACACAGGACAUCAUCGGCUACGUGCUGCACAUCCGGCGGUCCUCAGGUGUUGUCGUCCCUCCUCCAAGCUUGGGGGGAGAUGGGCCUCCCCGGGUCCCCAAGCUUGACGGACAUCCGUUCAGCCGUGGCCACAUACAACUUUGACUCAGAGAUUGGCAGGAGGGACCUCUUUGUCUGCCUGGCACAGCAGGAGCCCUCAUCCGAUUCCUCCCCCGUUCCUGCUCCUGCUGGCUCCUCCUCCCCUGCUCCUGCUGCUGCUGGCUCCUCCUCCCCUGCUCCUCCUCCCCUGCUCCUGCUGCUGCUGGCUCCUCCUCCCCUGCUCCUGCUCCUGCUUGGCUCCUCCUCCCCUGCUCCUGCUGGCUCCUGUGUGUUGUCAGGCCUGUCCUUUGUGGCUCCAGCCUUCAUGAGGAGAGAGAUGUCCGGCCAGGUGAGAGUCUGCUCACCUGAAGAGACAGACUCUUGAGGAGGAGCAGCUCUGGACCUCCGGAUUGACCGCACGCUGACCAUGUACUGCAUCAGCCAGGACGAUGACACAACAACACAACACACAGGACAUCAUCGGCUACGUGCUGCACAUCCGGCGGUCCUCAGGUGUUGUCGUCCCUCCUCCAAGCUUGGGGGGAGAUGGGCCUCCCCGGGUCCCCAAGCUUGACGGACAUCCGUUCAGCCGUGGCCACAUACAACUUUGACUCAGAGAUUGGCAGGAGGGACCUCUUUGUCUGCCUGGCACAGCAGGAGCCCUCAUCCGAUUCCUCCCCCGUUCCUGCUCCUGCUGGCUCCUCCU